Molecule: ribosomal RNA, 194 nt
Filed under: uncultured bacterium WkA01
Lineage: Bacteria
Description: partial 16S ribosomal RNA
Rfam family: Bacterial small subunit ribosomal RNA
Source: RNAcentral
CCUACGGGAGGCAGCAGUUGGGAAUUUUGGACAAUGGGCGAAAGCCUGAUCCAGCCAUGCCGCGUGUGUGAAGAAGGUCUUCGGAUUGUAAAGCACAUUAAGUUGGGAGGAAGGGCAGUUGCCUAAUACGUAACUGUUUUGACGUUACCGACAGAAUAAGCACCGGCUCACUCUGUGCCAGCAGCCGCCGUAAU